UACGGAGGGGGCUAGCGUUGUUCGGAAUUACUGGGCGUAAAGCGCACGUAGGCGGCUUUGUAAGUUAGAGGUGAAAGCCCAGAGCUCAACUCUGGAAUUGCCUUUGAGACUGAGUGGCUUGAGUACGAGAGAGGUGAGUGGAAUUCCCAGUGUAGAGGUGAAAUUCGUAGAUAUUGGGAAGAACACCGGUGGCGAAGGCGGCUCACUGGCUCGUAACUGACGCUCAUGCACGACAGCGUGGGGGAUCAAAACAGGG
RNAcentral lists this ribosomal RNA (256 nucleotides) under uncultured bacterium. RNAcentral's name for it is "partial 16S ribosomal RNA". It matches the Rfam family "Bacterial small subunit ribosomal RNA", at positions 524 to 777 of the family's 1533-position model. The record is from RNAcentral.